Molecule: ribosomal RNA, 301 nt
Filed under: uncultured bacterium
Lineage: Bacteria
Description: partial 16S ribosomal RNA
Rfam family: Bacterial small subunit ribosomal RNA
Source: RNAcentral
CAGCAGCCGCGGUAAUACGUAGGGUGCGAGCGUUAAUCGGAAUUACUGGGCGUAAAGCGUGCGCAGGCGGUUAUAUAAGACAGAUGUGAAAUCCCCGGGCUCAACCUGGGACCUGCAUUUGUGACUGUAUAGCUAGAGUACGGUAGAGGGGGAUGGAAUUCCGCGUGUAGCAGUGAAAUGCGUAGAUAUGCGGAGGAACACCGAUGGCGAAGGCAAUCCCCUGGACCUGUACUGACGCUCAUGCACGAAAGCGUGGGGGGCAAACAGGAUUAGAUACCCCUGUAGUCCCUGUCUCUUAUAA